CACGUAGUUAGCCGGGGCUUCUUCGUCAGGUACCUUCUUUUUUAUUCCCUGCUGAUAGAGCUUUACAUACCGAAAUACUUCUUCGCUCACGCGGCGUCGCUGCAUCAGGGUUUCCCCCAUUGUGCAAGAUUCCCCACUGCUGCCUCCCGUAGGAGUCUGGGCCGUGUCUCAGUCCCAAUGUGGCCGGUCGCCCUCUCAGGCCGGCUACUGAUCGUCGCCUUGGUGAGCCUUUACCCCACCAACUAGCUAAUCAGACGCAGAGCCAUCUUACACCGAUUUACUCUUUUCACUCUGUUUCAUGCGAAACUGGGUGCUUAUGCGGUAUUAGCAGCCGUUUCCAGCCGUUGUCCCCCUGUGUAAGGUAGGUUCUCUACGUGUUACUCACCCGUCCGCCACUCAGUCAAAAGGAUGCAAGCAUCCUUCUGCUUCGUUCGACUUGCAUGUGUUAAGCACGCCGCCAGCGUUCAUCCUGAGCCAGGAUCAAACUCU
RNAcentral lists this ribosomal RNA (489 nucleotides) under uncultured Eubacteriales bacterium. RNAcentral describes it as "uncultured Clostridiales bacterium partial 16S ribosomal RNA". Lineage: Bacteria; Bacillati; Bacillota; Clostridia; Eubacteriales. The record is from RNAcentral.